CUUAUACAAAGACCUUGAUAGUGUCUUUGAUUUUGUGGUGAGAAAGUGUGUUUUAUGAGUGGAAGAACUUGAUAGUGAAGUUGAUUGGAAUUCACAUACUUGUUAGAAGCUUCAAAAGUUGAUUUCAGAGUAUUUGGAGUGAAGAAACAUUCAUUUGUUCACAAGAAGGCAUUCUGAGAUUUUGCUAGUACAAAAUUGUUGUAGUGAUUUUAAGCACAUAGAGACUCUUUUUCAUGAUAUUUUUUGAUAGAUCUCUUCUAAGACAUGGCUUCAAGUGAGGGUGAAGGCUUGAAAGUGAUUAAGAAGUUUAGAGGUGACAAUUUCUACCAUUGGAAGGUCAAAAUGGAGCUUUUGUUGGCGUCUUUGGUCCUUUGGGACAUUGUAGAUGAAAGUAUAGAGUCUCCAAGCAUGCAUG
This 415-nucleotide long non-coding RNA is filed under the name Physcomitrium patens. RNAcentral describes it as "long non-coding RNA (PPAT_LNC008746)". The record is from RNAcentral. Lineage: Eukaryota; Viridiplantae; Streptophyta; Bryopsida; Funariales; Funariaceae.